This 143-nucleotide small nuclear RNA is filed under the name Ophiophagus hannah (king cobra). RNAcentral's name for it is "U2 spliceosomal RNA". It matches the Rfam family "U2 spliceosomal RNA". Rfam says of the family: U2 is a small nuclear RNA (snRNA) component of the spliceosome (involved in pre-mRNA splicing). Complementary binding between U2 snRNA (in an area lying towards the 5' end but 3' to hairpin I) and the branchpoint sequence (BPS) of the intron results the bulging out of an unpaired adenosine, on the BPS, which initiates a nucleophilic attack at the intronic 5' splice site, thus starting the first of two transesterification reactions that mediate splicing. The record is from Rfam by way of RNAcentral. Lineage: Eukaryota; Metazoa; Chordata; Lepidosauria; Squamata; Elapidae.
AUCUCUUCUCAGCCUUUUGGCUAAGAUCAAGUGUAGUAUCUGUUCUUAUCAGUUUAAUACAUUUUACAAUUCUGAAUGGGUGCAAGCCAACAGCAACAAACUUUACUGGAGUCUUAGACUAAAAUAAAAAAAAUCAACCCAAA